UUUCUCUUUACAGGAAGUUGUAGAAGUUUUCAGACGUGUCGCUGCUGGAUGUGAGGAUGGGACCCACUUUGCUCUGUGAGCUGGGCCUAUUCUUGCUCUGUACGCUCCUCUGCACUGGACACGCUCAAGAUGCUGUGUUAACUAUUGAACCCAACUGCUGCAGUUUUUUCAUUGGAGAGUUUGUUACCUUCA
This is a long non-coding RNA of Archocentrus centrarchus (flier cichlid), 192 nucleotides long. RefSeq lists it as uncharacterized. The transcript has 3 exons. NCBI's taxonomy places the organism in Eukaryota, Metazoa, Chordata, Actinopteri, Cichliformes, Cichlidae. The record is from RefSeq and is a predicted model, not a curated record.